Molecule: ribosomal RNA, 587 nt
Filed under: uncultured bacterium
Lineage: Bacteria
Description: partial 16S ribosomal RNA
Rfam family: Bacterial small subunit ribosomal RNA
Source: RNAcentral
UGGGGAAUUUUGGACAAUGGGCGAAAGCCUGAUCCAGCAAUGCCGCGUGUGUGAAGAAGGCCUUCGGGUUGUAAAGCACUUUUGUCCGGAAAGAAAUCCUUGGCUCUAAUACAGUCGGGGGAUGACGGUACCGGAAGAAUAAGCACCGGCUAACUACGUGCCAGCAGCCGCGGUAAUACGUAGGGUGCAAGCGUUAAUCGGAAUUACUGGGCGUAAAGCGUGCGCAGGCGGUUUGCUAAGACCGAUGUGAAAUCCCCGGGCUCAACCUGGGAACUGCAUUGGUGACUGGCAGGCUAGAGUAUGGCAGAGGGGGGUAGAAUUCCACGUGUAGCAGUGAAAUGCGUAGAGAUGUGGAGGAAUACCGAUGGCGAAGGCAGCCCCCUGGGCCAAUACUGACGCUCAUGCACGAAAGCGUGGGGAGCAAACAGGAUUAGAUACCCCUGGUAGUCCACGCCCUAAACGAUGUCAACUAGUUGUUGGGGAUUCAUUUCCUUAGUAACGUAGCUAACGCGUGAAGUUGACCGCCUGGGGGAGUACGGUCGCAAGAUUAAAACUCAAAGGAAUUGACGGGGUCAUAGCUGUUUCCU